RNAcentral lists this ribosomal RNA (524 nucleotides) under uncultured bacterium. Its description in RNAcentral is "partial 16S ribosomal RNA". It matches the Rfam family "Bacterial small subunit ribosomal RNA", at positions 28 to 523 of the family's 1533-position model. The record is from RNAcentral.
GACGAACGCUGGCGGCGUGCCUAAUACAUGCAAGUCGAGCGCGGGAAACUGACGGAACUCUUCGGAGGGAAGGCAGUGGAAUGAGCGGCGGACGGGUGAGUAACACGUAAGGAACCUGCCUCAAGGAUUGGGAUAACUCCGAGAAAUCGGAGCUAAUACCGGAUAGUUCAUCGGACAGCAUGGUCCGUUGAUGAAAGGCGCUCCGGCGUCACCUUGAGAUGGCCUUGCGGUGCAUUAGCUAGUUGGUGGGGUAAAGGCCCACGAAGGCGACGAUGCAUAGCCGACCUGAGAGGGUGAUCGGCCACACUGGGACUGAGACACGGCCCAGACUCCUACGGGAGGCAGCAGUAGGGAAUCUUCCACAAUGGACGAAAGUCUGAUGGAGCAACGCCGCGUGAGUGAUGAAGGUUUUCGGAUCGUAAAACUCUGUUGUAAGGGAAGAACACGUACGAGAGGGAAUGCUCGUACCUUGACGGUACCUUACGAGAAAGCCACGGCUAACUACGUGCCAGCAGCCGCCGUAA